Molecule: ribosomal RNA, 1548 nt
Filed under: Chlamydia suis
Lineage: Bacteria; Pseudomonadati; Chlamydiota; Chlamydiia; Chlamydiales; Chlamydiaceae
Description: bacterial SSU rRNA
Rfam family: Bacterial small subunit ribosomal RNA
Source: RNAcentral
UUUUCUGAGAAUUUGAUCUUGGUUCAGAUUGAACGCUGGCGGCGUGGAUGAGGCAUGCAAGUCGAACGGAACAGUUUUUAACUGUUUAGUGGCGGAAGGGUUAGUAAUGCAUAGAUAAUUUGUCUUUAACUUGGGAAUAACGGUUGGAAACGGCCGCUAAUACCGAAUGUGGCACCAUUUAGGCAUCUAGAUGGUGUUAAAGAAGGGGAUCUUCGGACCUUUCGGUUAAAGGGGAGUCUAUGUGAUAUCAGCUAGUUGGUGGGGUAAAGGCCUACCAAGGCUAUGACGUCUAGGCGGAUUGAGAGAUUGACCGCCAACACUGGGACUGAGACACUGCCCAGACUCCUACGGGAGGCUGCAGUCGAGAAUCUUUCGCAAUGGACGGAAGUCUGACGAAGCGACGCCGCGUGUGUGAUGAAGGCUCUAGGGUUGUAAAGCACUUUCGCUUGGGAAUAAGAGAAGGCGGUUAAUACCCGCCGGAUUUGAGCGUACCAGGUAAAGAAGCACCGGCUAACUCCGUGCCAGCAGCUGCGGUAAUACGGAGGGUGCUAGCGUUAAUCGGAUUUAUUGGGCGUAAAGGGCGUGUAGGCGGAAGAGUAAGUCAGUUGUCAAAUCUCGGGGCUCAACCCCGAAUCGGCAUCUGAUACUAUUUUUCUAGAGGGUAGAUGGAGAAAAGGGAAUUUCACGUGUAGCGGUGAAAUGCGUAGAUAUGUGGAAGAACACCAGUGGCGAAGGCGCUUUUCUAAUUUACACCUGACGCUAAGGCGCGAAAGCAAGGGGAGCAAACAGGAUUAGAUACCCUGGUAGUCCUUGCCGUAAACGAUGCAUACUUGAUGUGGAUGGUCUCAACCCCAUCCGUGUCGGAGCUAACGCGUUAAGUAUGCCGCCUGAGGAGUACACUCGCAAGGGUGAAACUCAAAAGAAUUGACGGGGGCCCGCACAAGCAGUGGAGCAUGUGGUUUAAUUCGAUGCAACGCGAAGGACCUUACCUGGGUUUGACAUGCAUAUGACCGCGGCAGAAAUGUCGUUUUCCGCAAGGACAUAUGCACAGGUGCUGCAUGGCUGUCGUCAGCUCGUGCCGUGAGGUGUUGGGUUAAGUCCCGCAACGAGCGCAACCCUUAUCGUUAGUUGCCAGCACUUAGGGUGGGAACUCUAACGAGACUGCCUGGGUUAACCAGGAGGAAGGCGAGGAUGACGUCAAGUCAGCAUGGCCCUUAUGCCCAGGGCGACACACGUGCUACAAUGGCCAGUACAGAAGGUAGCAAGAUCGUGAGAUGGAGCAAAUCCUUAAAGCUGGCCCCAGUUCGGAUUGUAGUCUGCAACUCGACUACAUGAAGUCGGAAUUGCUAGUAAUGGCGUGUCAGCCAUAACGCCGUGAAUACGUUCCCGGGCCUUGUACACACCGCCCGUCACAUCAUGGGAGUUGGUUUUACCUUAAGUCGUUGACUCAACCCGCAAGGGAGAGAGGCGCCCAAGGUGAGGCUGAUGACUAGGAUGAAGUCGUAACAAGGUAGCCCUACCGGAAGGUGGGGCUGGAUCACCUCCUUU